GACCUGAUGGUGGAGUGGUUAAUACGCCCGGAUUAAAUAGAUUUGUCCAGGAGAAUCUCAACAAAUGAACGGGAGUCCCCGGUUCGAACCCGGAUCAGGUCA
This is a non-coding RNA of Mycena alexandri, 102 nucleotides long. NCBI's taxonomy places the organism in Eukaryota, Fungi, Basidiomycota, Agaricomycetes, Agaricales, Mycenaceae. The record is from the annotation of a GenBank genome assembly.